GUCAGUGAGAAGCAAACACAGCUUUGUUUCAGCUGUACAUGUUGCCAACCAGCCUGGCUGGAGCAAGAGUUUCAGAGUGGUCAUCAUCCAGCACAACUUAGUUGUCCUAGAGUUGUUCAGAAAAACAUCUACAGUUCCCAGGCAACUGAGCAAACUCCAUCUGCUGAUGCAGGCCGUGUGAUAUUGUAAAAAUCUCCAGAAUGACAAUUUACAAAUUUCCACGGCAAAUAGCAUCAAACUUUCCUAAACGGCUGUGGCUGGAAAUGGCAAUGGAAGACAUCGUGGACAUGGAAAAACAUGCAAAGCAACAAAAUGAAUUUUAUUCAUCAUAUAGCCUAGUGUUUUACAGAAAAUAUUCAAAUGUAACCCCCAAUGUAAUCGUGAGCAUUUUCAUAAGUAACUGUAAUUUAAUUGCACAAUCUUCCCUAGUUACUGUAAUGUAUAACAGUUACAUUUAUUUUGUAAUCUAAUUCAAGAAUACGUUCUUUUAUUCAUUUCUAUCUGUGGGAUGGUUCUUGUUUUGUCAGAGGGGUUGUUGUUUGGGAUGCUUUAACUGUGCUCCCCCUCAUGAUGGGCGUCUGGGCACAUGAAGAGCUGUUUUCUUUACUCUGCUUUGAGCUGGACUGGUACAGUGCAUAGCCAUCGUCUCCACUUCUCACAGAAGUAGGUUUUAUGUUUUUUAUGUUGGUGAAUAUCAGGUGUUGUACUGUCUGUGCCAUCUGUGUGCAUAGAUUGUAUUGUGAUGCACUAUUGCUACGCCUGGCUACAAUCAUCACUGCUGUGACCACUAGAAAGUGUAGUUGUGACACCCCUUUAAAAAUGCGCUUCAGUUCACCAUCUCUCUGAAGACGGUAAUAAUUUCACUCUAACUGCAUGUGGCUAUCAGCGUUGGUGUUUGUAAAUUGAACUUUUUUCCAAUGAGGCUCAGUUGCAUGGAAAGAGCCCAAUUUUGUGCUAAAUGUAAAUAUGUGCAAAUAGCAUAAAAAUCCCCUUUCCAAUGCCUGGGGGGGUGUUGUGUUCGACACAGGUUCAAACACACUGAUUCAUUUGCCUGUUUGGUUCAGCUUGUUAAGGCUGUUGUGGAUUAAAUUGGAAAAUACAUAAAUUGUUUUUCCCUGUGUGGGUCCAGGUAGAGAUAAUGAUGCCGAGUGACAGUCACCAAAACAAUCACUCAACAAGUUACCUGUCUGUCCAUGCCAUCAUGUUUACUCCUCUUGGUUUGUUUGUAAAAGGUCAGUAUCAACACAAAACAUUUGACAUCUGGACCAAAUGAACCCAACUACGUGUGAAAGCUACCUUAAGCUCUCAUUUUUCAUUCUUCACCCAAAAACUUAUGGUCAUUUGUUUAACAACAAAUGCCUCUGAGGAGAAACUGUCCGAAAGUGUGUGCCAUUAUCCCCAUUUACACUAUAAAUUCCAUCUAGAAUUCAAAGACAUGCAGACUACUUGAAGGGAAGGAAGCAGUCAGUAGGCGGCUGUGAUGUUAGCCGUUUUGCUCCACCUUUGAGUGUGGCCAUUCAGGAUAGGUAUAAACUUUUUUGCCUUUAGAAGUCAACAUUGUAUUGUACGACCUUGUUUGUUUGAAGCAUACUAAACCUUCAAUAAAAGGAUUACUAAGGAUUAGGUAGGGAUUAUGCAGAUUUCAGAAAUUCAAGUGUUUAUAUUAACAGCUCAUCAGUACGUAUAUGGUAAAUUAUAGAGGUGUGUUGAAGCACAUGUGUAACGUGAAGCACACCGUGCAUAA
Long non-coding RNA from Micropterus salmoides (largemouth bass), 1744 nucleotides. RefSeq lists it as uncharacterized. The record is from RefSeq and is a predicted model, not a curated record. Lineage: Eukaryota; Metazoa; Chordata; Actinopteri; Centrarchiformes; Centrarchidae. The transcript has 3 exons.